Molecule: ribosomal RNA, 460 nt
Filed under: uncultured bacterium
Lineage: Bacteria
Description: partial 16S ribosomal RNA
Rfam family: Bacterial small subunit ribosomal RNA
Source: RNAcentral
CCUACGGGAGGCAGCAGUGAGGAAUAUUGGUCAAUGGACGAGAGUCUGAACCAGCCAAGUAGCGUGAAGGAUGACUGCCCUAUGGGUUGUAAACUUCUUUUAUAUGGGAGUAAAAUGUUCCACGUGUGGGAUUUUGUAUGUACCAUAUGAAUAAGGAUCGGCUAACUCCGUGCCAGCAGCCGCGGUAAUACGGAGGAUCCGAGCGUUAUCCGGAUUUAUUGGGUUUAAAGGGAGCGUAGGUGGAUUGUUAAGUCAGUUGUGAAAGUUUGCGGCUCAACCGUAAAAUUGCAGUUGAAACUGGCAGUCUUGAGUACAGUAGAGGUGGGCGGAAUGCGUGGUGUAGCGGUGAAAUGCUUAGAUAUCACGAAGAACUCCGAUUGCGAAGGCAGUUCACUGGACUGCAACUGACACUGAGGCUCGAAAGUGUGGGUAUCAAACAGGAUUAGAUACCCUAGUAGUC